AGCGAGGAUGAGUUGAGCUUGUUCAUAAGUAUGUCUCUGGUUGUCAACGUGGAGGUCAACAGACAGCAAACCCUGAGAAUGGAGCGCAGAAGGAAGGACCAGGGUAUUGAAACCAUAAUUGAGAUAAAGAGAACUGAAAUGAGUGGUCUCACUGCCCAAAUUGUUAUGAGCGAAUUCAGCCCAGGGAAUCAAAUCAACCCAGUUAUCCUGAUGUUCC
Pelobates cultripes (western spadefoot toad) is the source of this 217-nucleotide non-coding RNA. The record is from the annotation of a GenBank genome assembly. Lineage: Eukaryota; Metazoa; Chordata; Amphibia; Anura; Pelobatidae.